GCAGAACGCGAAGAACCUUACCAGGUCUUGACAUCCCAUUGACCACUAUGGAGACAUAGUUUUCCCUUCGGGGACAACGGUGACAGGUGGUGCAUGGUUGUCGUCAGCUCGUGUCGUGAAAUGUUGGGUUAAGUCCCGCAACGAGCGCAACCCUUGUUCUUAGUUGCCAUCAUUUAGUUGGGCACUCUAAGGAGACUGCCGGUGACAAACCGGAGGAAGGUGGGGAUGACGUCAAAUCAUCAUGCCCCUUAUGACCUGGGCUACACACGUGCUACAAUGGACGGUACAAACGGUUGCCAACCCGCGAGGGGGAGCUAAUCCGAUAAAACCAUUCUCAGUUCGGAUUGUAGGCUGCAACUCGCCUACAUGAAGCCGGAAUCGCUAGUAAUCGCGGAUCAGCAUGCCGCGGUGAAUACGUUCCCGGGUCUUGUACACACCG
Molecule: ribosomal RNA, 439 nt
Filed under: uncultured bacterium
Lineage: Bacteria
Description: bacterial SSU rRNA
Rfam family: Bacterial small subunit ribosomal RNA
Source: RNAcentral